AGUGAACGCUGGCGGUAGGCCUAACACAUGCAAGUCGAACGGCAGCACAGUAAGAGCUUGCUCUUACGGGUGGCGAGUGGCGGACGGGUGAGGAAUACAUCGGAAUCUACUUUUUCGUGGGGGAUAACGUAGGGAAACUUACGCUAAUACCACAUACGACCUACGGGUGAAAGCAGGGGAUCUUCGGACCUUGCGCGAUUGAAUGAGCCGAUGUCGGAUUAGCUAGUUGGCGGGGUAAAGGCCCACCAAGGCGACGAUCCGUAGCUGGUCUGAGAGGAUGAUCAGCCAAACUGGAACUGAGACACGGUCCAGACUCCUACGGGAGGCAGCAGUGGGGAAUAUUGGACAAUGGGCGCAAGCCUGAUCCAGCCAUACCGCGUGGGUGAAGAAGGCCUUCGGGUUGUAAAGCCCUUUUGUUGGGAAAGAAAAGCAGCAGGUUAAUACCCCGCUGUUCUGACGGUACCCAAAGAAUAAGCACCGGCUAACUUCGUG
This 492-nucleotide ribosomal RNA is filed under the name uncultured bacterium. RNAcentral's name for it is "partial 16S ribosomal RNA". It matches the Rfam family "Bacterial small subunit ribosomal RNA", at positions 29 to 507 of the family's 1533-position model. The record is from RNAcentral.